RNAcentral lists this ribosomal RNA (467 nucleotides) under uncultured Alphaproteobacteria bacterium. Its description in RNAcentral is "bacterial SSU rRNA". It matches the Rfam family "Bacterial small subunit ribosomal RNA", at positions 9 to 524 of the family's 1533-position model. The record is from RNAcentral. Lineage: Bacteria; Pseudomonadati; Pseudomonadota; Alphaproteobacteria.
GAGUUUGAUCCUGGCUCAGAACGAACGCUGGCGGCAUGCCUAACACAUGCAAGUCGAACGCCCCGCAAGGGGAGUGGCGAACGGGUGAGUAACGCGUGGGAACCUACCCAGCAGUUGGGGAUAACCGCGGGAAACUGCGGCUAAUACCGAAUACGUCCUUUGGGAGAAAGAUUUAUCGCUGUUGGAGGGGCCCGCGUCGGAUUAGCUAGUUGGUGAGGUAACGGCUCACCAAGGCGACGAUCCGUAGCUGGUCUGAGAGGAUGAUCAGCCACACUGGGACUUAGACACGGCCCAGACUCCUACGGGAGGCAGCAGUGGGGAAUAUUGGACAAUGGGGGCAACCCUGAUCCAGCAAUGCCGCGUGAGUGAUGAAGGCCUUAGGGUUGUAAAGCUCUUUUACCAGGGAUGAUAAUGACAGUACCUGGAGAAUAAGCUCCGGCUAACUCCGUGCCAGCAGCCGCAGUAAU